RNAcentral lists this ribosomal RNA (254 nucleotides) under uncultured bacterium. RNAcentral describes it as "partial 16S ribosomal RNA". It matches the Rfam family "Bacterial small subunit ribosomal RNA", at positions 524 to 776 of the family's 1533-position model. The record is from RNAcentral.
UACGUAGGGUGCAAGCGUUGUCCGGAAUUAUUGGGCGUAAAGAGCUCGUAGGCGGUUUGUCGCGUCGGCUGUGAAAGCCCGGAGCCUCAACUCCGGGUCUGCAGUCGAUACGGGCAGACUUGAGUGUUGCAGGGGAGACUGGAAUUCCUGGUGUAGCGGUGAAAUGCGCAGAUAUCAGGAGGAACACCGGUGGCGAAGGCGGGUCUCUGGGCAACAACUGACGCUGAGGAGCGAAAGCGUGGGGAGCGAACAGG